RNAcentral lists this long non-coding RNA (1072 nucleotides) under Gossypium barbadense (sea-island cotton). RNAcentral describes it as "long non-coding RNA (GBAR_LNC023331)". The record is from RNAcentral. Lineage: Eukaryota; Viridiplantae; Streptophyta; Magnoliopsida; Malvales; Malvaceae.
AUUAAUUAUUUUCUUAAAAUAACAGUAUCUCAUCUAUUAAUGAUAAAAUAUAUUUUGUUUCAACAUCUUUGACUUUCGUCGAACUUAAACUUAGCUAAAAUAUCGCUUCAAUUAACUAAUUUAGAGAUAAAUCUAACUCAAAUACCGUUUCAAUUAACUAAUUUAGAGAUAGUUUUUUUUUUGGUUAAAUGUCCAUUCUUGAAAAGAGAUUAGUUCAAAUGGGAUUGUCGGUUACUAUAACAUGAAGGAACCACUUUAUUGAACAAGGGCUCCUUUAGAUGGGCAUUUAUUUAUAGUGCGGUGCAUUUAAAAUGAGAUUAGUAUCUAAUCUCACCACAGUUGUUUUUACACUAAUCUCAGGUAAACGCACCGCCCAUCCAAAGGAGCCUUAAUUCUUAGAAGAAACCAAAUCUCAUGCUCAUCGUUGAUCUGCCGUAAUUUGAUAUGGCAAAUUAAGCUUUCCCAAUAUACUUAAGGAGCUUAUUCUCAAGCAAAGUAGCGUAUUUUCCGUAAUUUUUCGUAUUUUUUAGGCUUAAUUUAGUGAGUGUAAAUGCCUUGUUUUUAUUCAUUUUGAGACCUAAUCUGGCCAAUAGUGCCAUUGGGGACCCUAACGUAUGCUUGAGUGAUGUAGGGACGUGUUGGAGGCUAAAAUCGAGCAAGAAUGGCACCAAAGGAUAGGGCAUUGCGACAUCGAAACCUUGGAAUCGUGAUACCUCCAAUAGACCCAAGAUUGGAAACCACCCUUCAGUGGUAUCGUGAAGCCCUCCAAGUUCGAAAUUGUUCAAGGUAUCGCGAUAUUCUCUUACUUGGUAUCACAAUACCGAUAUCGUGAGAGGACAAAAGUUGAUGAAAAGGGUAGUCUUUGUCCACUUGAAGCACCAAUCAUUGAAGGCUUGUUCAAAAGUAUUUUGGGCACAAGAAUUAGGUCAAAAUAGCUGCUAUAUCAGCCAAAAUUUAGCUAAGAGAUAAAGAAAUGCCACAUUAGCUUGUUCAGGCUUAGUUUUUCUCUAACUAAUUUAAAUUCUUUAAGGAUAAUUUUAUCUCUAAAUAAUUUAAUUAAUAUGAGAUUAAU